GAAAUGCGAUAAGUAGUGUGAAUUGCAGAAUUCAGUGAAUCAUCGAAUCUUUGAACGCACAUUGCGCCCCUUGGUAUUCCAUGGGGCAUGCCUGUUCGAGCGUCAUUUGUACCUUCAAGCUCUGCUUGGUGUUGGGUGUUUGUCUCGCCUCUGCGCGCAGACUCGCCUCAAAACAAUUGGCAGCCGGCGUAUUGAUUUCGGAGCGCAGUACAUCUCGCGCUUUGCACUCAGAACGACGACGUCCAAAAGUACAUUUUUUACACUCUUGACCUCGGAUCAGGUAGGGACACCCGCUGAACUUAAGC
RNAcentral lists this unclassified non-coding RNA (305 nucleotides) under plant metagenome. RNAcentral describes it as "partial contains 5.8S ribosomal RNA, internal transcribed spacer 2, and large subunit ribosomal RNA". The stretch from base 1 to 105 matches the Rfam family "5.8S ribosomal RNA", at positions 50 to 154 of the family's 154-position model. The record is from RNAcentral.